AACGGAUAGAUAAAUAGAUAGAUAAAAUAAAUAAGACACACAAAAUUUCUUUUUUUUGUGUUAAAUCAACUGAAUGUUUUUAUUCUUUUAUUCCCAGUUUUUCUAUUCUUUAUUAAAUCCUUUAUUUGUUCACUUGGUUGUUUUACGGUCGUCACAGCUCUGACUCUCCAAACAAACCCCUCCCGGCCUCCAUUUCUAAAACUGCUUUUAGACACGUGAUGGAAAGGAGGACGGCUUUUAAAAGGCCAGGAGGAGGGAAUGGAGCCAGGUAAACUAAUCUCCCUCUCUCAGACACACAAACACACCCAAACACACACACACACUGUAUAUUUACAGUAAGUGGGCUGAACGAGAGGCUCAGUCAUGACACAGAGGAGCAGCAUGUUGCAGGGCUGAAAAAGUCCUAGAGGACGGCUGGAGAAAUGGUGGUGGUGAUGGAGAAACUGCCUGAGACGACAUGAGGAAGAAACCUCAAGAAGAACCAGACAGAAGGUGAUUUUCAUUCAAGUGUUUAGUUGCUGAUAUUCUGCAAAAGGGUGUUUAUUUAACAUUUGUGGAAGGAGUCUCCAGUGUCGGUGCUUUGUAACAGAGUUUACACUUUGUAGUUUCUCUGUAAUUACGAGAGAAAGAGAGAGAGAGAUCGAGAGAGAGAGAGAGAAUGUUGAGACACUGUGGAAGGAAUGUGUGUUUAUCAUAAAUCAUGAUUUUUGUGACUUCUUCACCACUUUAAAAAAACUAGAAAUGGAUUUUUUUUUACAAAAUAAAUGAUGGGUCUUUCUUUAAAAAAAUUUACCUCCUGGCAAAGUGUUGAGUUACAGUAUAAGCUUUCUGACAUGCUGUCUUUAAAAAAAAAAAAAAGAAAGGAAAAUGCUGAGGGGGGAGUAACGUACACCUACAUGAUUCCACACUGUUGUUGAUGAUUUUUCUAUUUCCUAUUAUUUAUUAGUCCUAAUAACAUGCAGCCUGUGACGAUGCGGUUCAGCGGCAGCGUGUUGAUGCUCUUGCUGAGGUUUGUCAGCCAAGGAUCCUGAGUCGGACCGGUUUGCUAAAAUCACCGUACAAGGAAGAAAAAGCUGCAAAAUCCUCAUAUCGGGUCUGGAAGUAUUUACUGAAAUCAUUAUCCCUCUUAAUCAGCAGUGAGCUUUCCACAGAACCGAUCAUCAGCUGCCUCUCUCACUCAUUCUCCAUCAACUAAUGUGUGUGCUUUAAAAGGUCAAAAGGUCAAAGUUCAAUGUCUUUAGCUGUAUAUUUAAGCCGUCACUGGAUCCUUGUGAAUGUUACAAAUGAACUUUACUAAAAAAAACGCAACACACUUACAGUUUGUCUUAUAAUCGACCUACUUUAUGGGUAUCGAAUCAUGUUAAAACACACAGCAUUCUCCAAAACCUCUUCAGGAUGGAAAGAGCACGUAUCUAAAUCCAAAGCUUGCAAAAAACGCCUUCGAGCUGAGAACCUCGUUCCAACGCUGCCUGCACUCACUGACCUCGAUGUUCAGAAAGAAUUCCACAGCGCAGAAGCCGAGACAUGCCAUCCAUUAUCAUGCUGACUUUUAACCCCCCCCCGCCCCCAAACACACACACACAGAUGCGCACACAGUGUCCCAAUACCUCUCAAGGCCAAAUAAGACGCACCAUCAUACGCAUUGAUCUGGGAAAUCUCGGAAAGUGAUAGUGAAGGACGUGAUAAAGGAGGGAAUGCUGAAAAAAGCCGAGUCGGGGAAAAGAAUCGAACCAGGACAGCAGCCAUCGACGCAGAAAGAGACUUAAAAGUGCCAUAAAAGUGACUUCUGUAUACUGUACAAAGCAACAUAAAGAUUUUCCGAUCACAA
This is a long non-coding RNA of Clarias gariepinus (North African catfish), 1828 nucleotides long. RefSeq lists it as uncharacterized. The record is from RefSeq and is a predicted model, not a curated record. The transcript has 2 exons. NCBI's taxonomy places the organism in Eukaryota, Metazoa, Chordata, Actinopteri, Siluriformes, Clariidae.